RNAcentral lists this ribosomal RNA (1083 nucleotides) under Triticum aestivum (bread wheat). Its description in RNAcentral is "partial small subunit ribosomal RNA". The record is from RNAcentral. Lineage: Eukaryota; Viridiplantae; Streptophyta; Magnoliopsida; Poales; Poaceae.
AUGGCACAAAACUUCGAAAUUGGAAAGCCAGUGCGCAGCGAAACCAUGGCAGUCAUGCUACAGAUGUUGAAAAAGCAACUCAGGGGCACAAAGAGAAAGAUUCUAUCAACAUACAACACCGCAUCAAUACACAUGGCCAACCAUGAAGAUCCAUUGGAGUUGAAAAAUAAAGAUGAUGCACACAUCAGAGACAAGACAAUUCCUAAAAGGCUUAAAAGAUUCCUUGAUCUGGAAGAAGGAGAGCAACUACAAGAUUUGGACAUGGAACAAGUCCCAGAGUUGAGAAAGAAAAUUCUCUAUCAAAUAUUCUGCCAAUACAGAGAUACAGCAGCACUGUCAUUAAUCAACUACACCGCAGAUAUGCUCAAACCUGAGGUCGAUAUGGAAGACAGUGAAAUGGAACAAAUACAUUGUGACAUAAUUCAACAAGAGAUUCCUCCAACUCCCGAGAACAUUGGGACAAGUGCUCAAGAGAUAAAAGUUAUUAACAUUAAUGACACAAGCAGCGAUGAGAAGAAAGAAGAUUAUCAUUUGAGCAGCAAGGAUACCACCAAGGUGUCUGAAGAAGCACUCAUGGAAGAACAAGCCCAGACAGAUCCUGGUUUACAGAGGGAACAACACACACAGCCAGACACUGAUUUACAAAAGGAAGACGAACGAAAAGAUCCGCCGAUAGAACCAGACAGAUCACCCCCAGAUAAAAACAACGAAGGCAUAACACGCUCUCCUUUAGAAGUGGAUAACAGGAAAAAGAGCAUACCAACUCGCCAACAACAGCUUUCCAAACAGGACAUGAACCCUGUUGGCGAAGAUCGCAUACCAGGAACAUCACCAGAGGCAGAACAUGCACAAGAAGGAAAGAAGGAGAAAGGAAAGAUUUUAGCAGAAAAGAUACUUCAAAAUAGGAAACAUGAUGCUGAAGUCUCAAUAGAAUCGAGCAUAAAAAACAACAACACACAAAAGGACACACCAACACCUGGGCAGCUUAACGAGCAGGCACAGUUCGGUCAUGACAAGAAGGGGAAGGCAUCUUGCAAGAGUGCAGACAAGUUCCCCAAAACCCUCAACGAUUCAAUCACAUGA